This 76-nucleotide transfer RNA is filed under the name Saprospiraceae bacterium. RNAcentral's name for it is "tRNA-Trp". It matches the Rfam family "tRNA". Rfam says of the family: Transfer RNA (tRNA) molecules are approximately 80 nucleotides in length. Their secondary structure includes four short double-helical elements and three loops (D, anti-codon, and T loops). The record is from RNAcentral. Lineage: Bacteria; Pseudomonadati; Bacteroidota; Saprospiria; Saprospirales; Saprospiraceae.
AGGGGAGUAGCUCAGUUGGUAGAGCGACGGUCUCCAAAACCGUAGGCCGCGGGUUCGAUUCCUGUCUCCCCUGCAA